Molecule: ribosomal RNA, 2904 nt
Filed under: Escherichia coli
Lineage: Bacteria; Pseudomonadati; Pseudomonadota; Gammaproteobacteria; Enterobacterales; Enterobacteriaceae
Description: 23S ribosomal RNA
Rfam family: Bacterial large subunit ribosomal RNA
Source: RNAcentral
GGUUAAGCGACUAAGCGUACACGGUGGAUGCCCUGGCAGUCAGAGGCGAUGAAGGACGUGCUAAUCUGCGAUAAGCGUCGGUGAGGUGAUAUGAACCGUUAUAACCGGCGAUUUCCGAAUGGGGAAACCCAGUGUGUUUCGACACACUAUCAUUAACUGAAUCCAUAGGUUAAUGAGGCGAACCGGGGGAACUGAAACAUCUAAGUACCCCGAGGAAAAGAAAUCAACCGAGAUUCCCCCAGUAGCGGCGAGCGAACGGGGAGGAGCCCAGAGCCUGAAUCAGUGUGUGUGUUAGUGGAAGCGUCUGGAAAGGCGCGCGAUACAGGGUGACAGCCCCGUACACAAAAAUGCACAUACUGUGAGCUCGAUGAGUAGGGCGGGACACGUGGUAUCCUGUCUGAAUAUGGGGGGACCAUCCUCCAAGGCUAAAUACUCCUGACUGACCGAUAGUGAACCAGUACCGUGAGGGAAAGGCGAAAAGAACCCCGGCGAGGGGAGUGAAAAAGAACCUGAAACCGUGUACGUACAAGCAGUGGGAGCCUCUUAAUGGGGUGACUGCGUACCUUUUGUAUAAUGGGUCAGCGACUUAUAUUCUGUAGCAAGGUUAACCGAAUAGGGGAGCCGAAGGGAAACCGAGUCUUAACUGGGCGUUAAGUUGCAGGGUAUAGACCCGAAACCCGGUGAUCUAGCCAUGGGCAGGUUGAAGGUUGGGUAACACUAACUGGAGGACCGAACCGACUAAUGUUGAAAAAUUAGCGGAUGACUUGUGGCUGGGGGUGAAAGGCCAAUCAAACCGGGAGAUAGCUGGUUCUCCCCGAAAGCUAUUUAGGUAGCGCCUCGUGAAUUCAUCUCCGGGGGUAGAGCACUGUUUCGGCAAGGGGGUCAUCCCGACUUACCAACCCGAUGCAAACUGCGAAUACCGGAGAAUGUUAUCACGGGAGACACACGGCGGGUGCUAACGUCCGUCGUGAAGAGGGAAACAACCCAGACCGCCAGCUAAGGUCCCAAAGUCAUGGUUAAGUGGGAAACGAUGUGGGAAGGCCCAGACAGCCAGGAUGUUGGCUUAGAAGCAGCCAUCAUUUAAAGAAAGCGUAAUAGCUCACUGGUCGAGUCGGCCUGCGCGGAAGAUGUAACGGGGCUAAACCAUGCACCGAAGCUGCGGCAGCGACACUAUGUGUUGUUGGGUAGGGGAGCGUUCUGUAAGCCUGCGAAGGUGUGCUGUGAGGCAUGCUGGAGGUAUCAGAAGUGCGAAUGCUGACAUAAGUAACGAUAAAGCGGGUGAAAAGCCCGCUCGCCGGAAGACCAAGGGUUCCUGUCCAACGUUAAUCGGGGCAGGGUGAGUCGACCCCUAAGGCGAGGCCGAAAGGCGUAGUCGAUGGGAAACAGGUUAAUAUUCCUGUACUUGGUGUUACUGCGAAGGGGGGACGGAGAAGGCUAUGUUGGCCGGGCGACGGUUGUCCCGGUUUAAGCGUGUAGGCUGGUUUUCCAGGCAAAUCCGGAAAAUCAAGGCUGAGGCGUGAUGACGAGGCACUACGGUGCUGAAGCGACAAAUGCCCUGCUUCCAGGAAAAGCCUCUAAGCAUCAGGUAACAUCAAAUCGUACCCCAAACCGACACAGGUGGUCAGGUAGAGAAUACCAAGGCGCUUGAGAGAACUCGGGUGAAGGAACUAGGCAAAAUGGUGCCGUAACUUCGGGAGAAGGCACGCUGAUAUGUAGGUGAAGUCCCUCGCGGAUGGAGCUGAAAUCAGUCGAAGAUACCAGCUGGCUGCAACUGUUUAUUAAAAACACAGCACUGUGCAAACACGAAAGUGGACGUAUACGGUGUGACGCCUGCCCGGUGCCGGAAGGUUAAUUGAUGGGGUUAGCGGCAACGCGAAGCUCUUGAUCGAAGCCCCGGUAAACGGCGGCCGUAACUAUAACGGUCCUAAGGUAGCGAAAUUCCUUGUCGGGUAAGUUCCGACCUGCACGAAUGGCGUAAUGAUGGCCAGGCUGUCUCCACCCGAGACUCAGUGAAAUUGAACUCGCUGUGAAGAUGCAGUGUACCCGCGGCAAGACGGAAAGACCCCGUGAACCUUUACUAUAGCUUGACACUGAACAUUGAGCCUUGAUGUGUAGGAUAGGUGGGAGGCUUUGAAGUGUGGACGCCAGUCUGCAUGGAGCCGACCUUGAAAUACCACCCUUUAAUGUUUGAUGUUCUAACGUGGGCCCGUAAUCCGGGUUGCGGACAGUGUCUGGUGGGUAGUUUGACUGGGGCGGUCUCCUCCUAAAGAGUAACGGAGGAGCACGAAGGUUGGCUAAUCCUGGUCGGACAUCAGGAGGUUAGUGCAAUGGCAUAAGCCAGCUUGACUGCGAGCGUGACGGCGCGAGCAGGUGCGAAAGCAGGUCAUAGUGAUCCGGUGGUUCUGAAUGGAAGGGCCAUCGCUCAACGGAUAAAAGGUACUCCGGGGAUAACAGGCUGAUACCGCCCAAGAGUUCAUAUCGACGGCGGUGUUUGGCACCUCGAUGUCGGCUCAUCACAUCCUGGGGCUGAAGUAGGUCCCAAGGGUAUGGCUGUUCGCCAUUUAAAGUGGUACGCGAGCUGGGUUUAGAACGUCGUGAGACAGUUCGGUCCCUAUCUGCCGUGGGCGCUGGAGAAUUGAGGGGGGCUGCUCCUAGUACGAGAGGACCGGAGUGGACGCAUCACUGGUGUUCGGGUUGUCAUGCCAAUGGCACUGCCCGGUAGCUAAAUGCGGAAGAGAUAAGUGCUGAAAGCAUCUAAGCACGAAACUUGCCCCGAGAUGAGUUCUCCCUGACCCUUUAAGGGUCCUGAAGGAACGUUGAAGACGACGACGUUGAUAGGCCGGGUGUGUAAGCGCAGCGAUGCGUUGAGCUAACCGGUACUAAUGAACCGUGAGGCUUAACCUU